RNAcentral lists this long non-coding RNA (438 nucleotides) under Homo sapiens (human). Its description in RNAcentral is "HSALNT0380685". Lineage: Eukaryota; Metazoa; Chordata; Mammalia; Primates; Hominidae. The record is from RNAcentral.
UGAUGCCAUGUGAGAUGUGCCUUUCACCUUCCACCAUGAUUGUGAGGCUUCCCCAGCCAUGUGGAACUGGUCCUGACCCAAAAUCCAGAUUGGUCUGAAUUAGGUCUGGUCUGCAUCUACUGCAGCAGAAGUUCUGGACACAGAAGAGUGGCUUCAACAUGCAAAAGGAGAAGAUGCAAAAAGAAGAAAGUGGAAAACAAUGCGUCAAUUCCCCUCAUGCCUAUAUGUCCAGUUUAAAGGAGAUCUAUCUGAGCAUUCUGUUCGUUGAAUGACUUAUCGGGGAGGAAGGCUAUUUCCAUAGGAUAAGAGGUCCCUCAUCUCUUCCCCUCAAUCCAUCCUUUUCUUAAAAGCCAGGUUCCCAGCACUUUGGGAGGCCGAGGCGGGCGGAUCACGAGGUCAGGAGAUCGAGACCAUCCUGGCUAACACAGUGAAACCCCG